UCUUGGAGACUCUGAGUUCUCUCUCACAAGUCACAACUUCGUUUUAUGUGAUCGCUCCUCUCCUCUCGACUGUUAAUAUUUGUGAUAUUUUCUAAUCUUCAGUGAUGUUAUAAGACAUUUGAAAUAGAAUGGGGAUCUAUCCAAACGGUUAUCUUGAACUGUUUGGUCGUUCGAUGCAUGAAUGAAGUGUGUGUUGCGACUUAGAGAACCAACAUUUUAACGAAUAUGCUGUGAUGAUGAAUCAUCAAUUUUGUCUAGCAUUUCAAGCCUUGUCUGGCAUAUUGAUUUCAGGAUUAGUCUUUGGUGUUCCUACUCCAGAGGAGCCAGCUAUUGUAUGCUAUGUGAACAAGGACCUAGCUCACAUUCCUGUUGAUCAAGAUAAAGAGGGGAUGUCAAAGAACUCUACAAAGCAAGUUUGUAGCAAGGGAAAUCAUAUAUCAUGCUACACUUUAUGGAAAGAAAUUAUAAAUCCACUAAAUAAUGCUACUGAAAUCUCCAUUCUAGCCAGAGGUUGCUGGGAAAGCUCUAGGCCUGAAGAAUGUAAUUCACAAGCAUGCAUAGCGAACGAUUGGCCUUCUCAGCAAGCCAACGACAAAAAGUUCUGCUGUUGCACUGGAAAUUUAUGCAACAGAAAUGUUUCAGUGGCCUUAUCUGCGCAUGCGCCAACUCUUCGCCCGUCUCCGUCCCAACAGACGCCGCAUGCGACCGUUUCUGAGUUAUCAGGAGAGGAUACACCCUUCUUUUUGAUCGUCGUCUGUAUUUCUUUAUCGCUUGUAAUAAUGAGUCUAAUAGCUUUAUGUACCCUUCAUUUUCUUUUUGACCGUUUAUUGCAUAAACCUCCUUUAUCCGACUCGGUUCGACUGGUUGAGAAUGGCCCAAGUGAACGACCCAUCAAACUCAUAGAAAUAAUCGGUCAGGGUCGUUACGGAUCGCUGUGGAAAGGCAUGGAUCGUGACGGACAGCUGGUUGCCGUGAAAGCGUUCCAGCCGCACUUGCGGCAGAUUUUCGUGAAUGAGCGCGACAUUUUCCAGCUGCCAUUCAUGAGUAUUCCGGCGCUGGUUGCCUACUACGGCUAUCAGGAAUCGGCAACGCAACUCGACCUGUUGCUGUUGUAUUGCGGACUCGGUUGUCUGCAAGAUUACCUCAAGACGCACACACUUGACUCGACUGUUUUCUGUCGCAUGACUUCGUCUAUUGCCAGGGGACUUGCUCAUCUACACACCGAAAUACGGCAAGGAAAUAAAGUCAAACCGUGCGUAUGCCACCGAGAUCUGAAUACAAGAAAUAUUCUGGUCAAAGAUGAUCUCAGCUGUUGUCUGUGUGAUUUUGGACUAGCCGUUCAAGUGGGCAAUGUUGGAAGAGGUGACGACUCUGCCAGAAAAUCGAUCAGUGAUGUUGGAACACUGCGUUACAUGGCUCCUGAAGUGUUGGAAGGAGCAGUCAACCUGAGAGACUGUGAAUCAUCGCUGAAGCAAAUCGAUGUCUAUGCUGCCGGUCUGGUAUUAUGGGAACUAGGAACCAGAUGUCAGGACCUUUUUGUUGAUAAUGCCACUGUAGUGCCAUAUGCAUUGCCAUUCCAAGAAGAAGUUGGUUUGCAUCCAAGCUUUGAGCAGAUGCAGGUAAUGGUGUCCCGCAACAAAGCGCGUCCACUGUUCCCUGCACUGUGGAAGGACUGGCGUGAUUACGGCGCUGUUCGCCUACUGAGAGAGACUAUCGAAGACUGCUACGAUCAGGAUGCGGAGGCUAGGCUUACGGCGCUCUGCAUUGAGGAACGUCUUGCUGACCUGACUCAACUAUUACAAAAAGAAUCUCAUGGAAAUUAUCCUUUCAAUUUGGGUGCUCAAAUUGUCAGCUACAAUAAUUCAGUUACUACCACCAAUACAUUGGCUCCUGAUGAUACAGUUGAAUCAAAUUUAUCUGAAGGAACAAUUGAAACUCUAUUAACCAAUAGUCCAUCGGAGUGCACAGAACCUUCUCCUGGCUAUGCAUGGAAAGAUUCAAACAGUAGGGUUGUGGUUAAUCCUAUCAUUCAACCACAUCAGGGGCGCAAUCCUUGCUUGGAGCGGAAUCUUUUUGUUGGUGAAGAUAAUCAGGAGGCUGAUGCUGUACCAUUAGUGGAGAGGUCGAUGAAACAUCAGAAUCAGCCUUGCUUGUCACCGUUUGUGCUUAAGCCGAACAAUGUGCCCCCACCAGGGUUCAUACGCAAACUCCUACACACGAAGAAGUCGAAUAUACUACAUGCCAAUGAGGAUUGCUCCAGUAAUAGCUGAACUCUGACGCUUGUAUGUAGAAACUCUCAAUGCAGAUUCGAGUCAACUUCGUACUUCGCUCAAUGGGAGGAAGUUGAUUAAAGUCUUCACAAAACGUUAUGGAAAUAAUACUUAGUUGGUUCGGACAGCCCAUUCAUGCGUGUACUAUAUUGAAGAAAACCAGAAAGAUUGAAGUCUCAACUUGAACUUUGAAGUUUCAACUUCAGGAGUCUGGUCUCACUAGGCGUCAAAUCUGCAAUAGGCCUACCAGUAAAAAUCAACCUGAAAAAACAAAACUCAAACUUCAAAGCUUGGAGCUGGAAGCUUCAAGUGUGGAACUGUUCUCAACGGAGAAGGACUUUAUUGUUGCUUCUACUUCAUUUCAUUGAAGGCUGGAGGCGUAGGACUUGGACAUGGAUGAGUGCUGCUGGAUUGUGCGAGGCGCAAGGUUCAUGCUACCACAGCACCAAUUAAUAAUGCCGACCGGCAAGUUCCUUGGAGAAUAUCAAUUUUGUUCUACCAGCAUAAAGGGCUCAAGAAGGACAACCAUGGCUCCCCUCACUUGGCCUAGCUUUCUUGCAAAAUGCGAGACGACUGGAUCACUACAUCAGUUUCAACACUUGAAUAGAGCUAGCAGCGCCAAUAAUAAGUGGUAUUGGUACAGAUCACACAAUGCUUCUCACCGCACCACAAAAUCACCUGGACAUCAUCAUACUGUGACAUCAUCAUCAUCAUCAUCAUCAUCACUACCAUCAUGACAUCUUUAAACACCACCAAGCAGGGAAUGCGCAGAGUAACUGUAGCGGCUCAGAUAUAGUGAUUGCUGAUGAUGAUGCUGUAUUGAUGUUGACGAAGUGUUGUCAUCGCUACGGUUGAGAAUAAGAUUUGUAAUAUCCUUGAGUGGAUCCAAGAGCGGCUGCAUUCGUUUAGUGUUUUG
This 3186-nucleotide unclassified non-coding RNA is filed under the name Nilaparvata lugens (brown planthopper). Its description in RNAcentral is "bone morphogenetic protein receptor type-2, transcript variant X3". Lineage: Eukaryota; Metazoa; Arthropoda; Insecta; Hemiptera; Delphacidae. The record is from RNAcentral.